ACUUCUUGUUCUUGUUCCAUCCUUUUAGGUAAACCAAGGAAGAUUCACAUACGAAUAAAGAUAUAACUACACUUUUCAAUUGUCAAAUUUCUGGAAUCCGCUCAAGAUAUUAUAAACUCACAAACGUUUUUGGAGCUGUGUUGCAUUUUGUUUUUCUUGCAGGUAACUCUUCACUCAACAAGGAACAAGGGCCAGAUGGCAUGCAGACAUGUGUCUGAGACAGG
Molecule: long non-coding RNA, 224 nt
Filed under: Chinchilla lanigera (long-tailed chinchilla)
Lineage: Eukaryota; Metazoa; Chordata; Mammalia; Rodentia; Chinchillidae
Description: lncRNA (ENSCLAG00000024562.1)
Source: RNAcentral